This is a non-coding RNA of Acanthosepion pharaonis, 108 nucleotides long. Lineage: Eukaryota; Metazoa; Mollusca; Cephalopoda; Sepiida; Sepiidae. The record is from the annotation of a GenBank genome assembly.
CCAAAUCAUGUUGAAACAUUGGUUCCUGUACAAUCACCAAAGUUAAGCAACACCAAGCUUGGUCAGUACUUAGAUUGGUGACUGUUUGGGAAUACUAGGUGCUGUAAG